GCUCGUGUCGUGAGAUGUGGUUAAGUCCGCAACGAGCGCAACCCUUGUCAUUAGUUGCCAUCAUUUAGUUUGGGCACUCUAAUGAGACUGCCGGUGACAAACCGGAGGAAGGUGGGGAUGACGUCAAGUCCUCAUGGCCCUUAUGGGUAGGGCUUCACACGUCAUACAAUGGUCGGUACAGAGGGUUGCCAAGCCGCGAGGUGGAGCCAAUCCCAGAAAGCCGCUCUCAGUUCGGAUUGCAGGCUGCAACUCGCCUGCAUGAAGCCGGAAUCGCUAGUAAUCGCGGAUCAGCAUGCCGCGGUGAAUACGUUCCCGGGCCUU
RNAcentral lists this ribosomal RNA (321 nucleotides) under uncultured Rhodocyclaceae bacterium. RNAcentral describes it as "bacterial SSU rRNA". It matches the Rfam family "Bacterial small subunit ribosomal RNA", at positions 1058 to 1382 of the family's 1533-position model. Lineage: Bacteria; Pseudomonadati; Pseudomonadota; Betaproteobacteria; Rhodocyclales; Rhodocyclaceae. The record is from RNAcentral.